CAGGUCUCAGAGAUCGCCUAGUUAGGACAGGUGACUGUUGGCGGUGGUUGCUAUAGAAAUUCAGUACUGCGUACGCGUCAUUUGAGCGUUUCAAAAUUCACUUGAUCUGUUUCUGCUGUUUUGAUGCAGAGAAGGAGGAAUGGUGGAUUCGGGCUGAUUCGGAUGGAGAAAUGCACGAAUGCAGACCACAUGCGACAAAUGCAGGCGUACACGUGUACAGCCACGUGUUGGCAAUGGCCUUUUCAUGCAUUCCCCUGAAAAAAAUUGUGGAUUCCAUGUGUAGUUUAUUUUCGUUGAGAGGUUUUGCUUGCCCAAAUACUAGAAAUAGGGCACAGACUUCGUCUUUUUUAGUUUGGUGAUCGCCAGUCGGUUGACCAGUCUACGUUUGGAGCUCUUCGUCCAGUGCCACCAGACCACUGAUCAUGUCGUCGCGGAAGCAUGACGUGCAGGCCAGACGUUCCUCGCGUCGUGCCACUCCUGGGGCCUACCAGUGUGGAAACCCCUUCCACUACCAGUGGGGGAGUACGUCCACAAGGAAGGACAAAAACGCCAGGAAGUCCCUGUUGGAUGUCCUCUCCAGCAUCAGCGGACGGAACAUCAAGUCUCUCUGCAGUGAUACUGUAGUGCGAAGUGCGUUGGAUGCUCUCAGUCAAGCCGUCACUCGUCCUAUGCAGCCUAUGCAGCCUAUGCAGCUAUCCUAUGCAGCUGAACAGUUCUGAAUUUUUCUGCACCAUGCCCAUGAAUGCAUGGCGCAAUAUGGUGGCCUUGAAGGCAUUACACGGAAGUUCCUCACAAGGAAUAUGACAGUUCAUAAUGACACCACACAGGAAAUUGUGUGCUUGUAAUUCUUCAAUCUUGAUAUCAUUGAUGCCAUGCGGCCAGAACUUCUGGUAUAUUCAUUCAUGAAUUAUAGCAUUAUGCUUCUUGUCCGAGUGCUGCUGCUGUUGCGCUCCAUCUCUUUCUCUGUCUUGCCACUUCUUGUUUCCUGCAUUAGUAGGCGCGACUAUUACUGCUGCUGCUGCUGUUGCUGCUGCUGUUGCUGCUGCUGCUGCUGCUGUUGCUGCUGCUGUUGGCGCUGCUGCUGCUGCCGUUGCUGUACGUAGAGUUGUAUCACGUGUUGCUCCUCCAGCUGGUGCUGUUGCUGUACAUGCAAUGGUAUCAGCUGUUGUUGUUCUUGCUGCUGCUGCUGCUGCUCUUGUUCAGGUGGUUGCCCCUUCUCUUUCAAGGUUCUACCGAGAUAACACUGGUCACACAA
This is a long non-coding RNA of Sycon ciliatum, 1255 nucleotides long. RefSeq lists it as uncharacterized. The record is from RefSeq and is a predicted model, not a curated record. The transcript is spliced from 2 exons. Lineage: Eukaryota; Metazoa; Porifera; Calcarea; Leucosolenida; Sycettidae.